This 1651-nucleotide long non-coding RNA is filed under the name Sorghum bicolor (sorghum). RNAcentral's name for it is "long non-coding RNA (SBIC_LNC009306)". The record is from RNAcentral. Lineage: Eukaryota; Viridiplantae; Streptophyta; Magnoliopsida; Poales; Poaceae.
CCAUAAGUCGAAGAUCCACGAUACUCGAUAACUGUGAACAGAUCUGGAUGAGGCGACAGCGAUGCGCCCAGAAGCCAAAGCCCAGAACAUGCUCGAUAGACGGGGAACUCACAACUUGCUGGAGAUCGAACUGAAGCGAUGCAACCCAGCUUGCAUGAAGAAACUCGUCGAGAAACUACAUUAAUCCUACUCAUAGUGCUGAUAAAGUACAUACGAUAAUGUAAAGGUAUUGAUAAGAUAGAUUGUAUUGAUAUGUGGAGAUAACUUGAUACAAUAGUCGGGGCUUAUAUUUAUACCCUGAGCUGACCCACAAUCCUACCCAAACUUGACUAAACAAUACUUGUAUAAAAAGAAAUAUCUAACAAACCUGCCUAAUUAUAAAGAUACACGGACUCUAAUUUCCCUUGUAUAGAAUCCUUGCUAAUGAAGUUUCCUUCUCUGGACAAAUAUAACCCACACAUGCGUGAUUAACAUGUACUCUUUUGGUUACUUGCCAUACGUGACAUACAACUACACGUGGAGCCGAUCACCUUCCUUGCAUGUGGAUUUAUCUCUAAGUACAAAGCAUUGACAUGUCCUUCCAAAGUUAGAUUAUUUUAAUCUCUAAUAAAUUAAUUACGCACAUGCAUGCAUAUUCAUCGCAAGUGAGCCCUACCAAUGCUGCCAAUAGCCGAUGCUCCGAAUUAUCUAGAUUUGCGAAAAUCUGUUGUCAACAACACCAUAACGUUUCCCAAUCUCCUUUCGUACUCCCUAUGUUUCAAUUGUGCCAAUGUUUAGCUAUUCCCGUCAAAGAGAAUAGAAAUAAUUUCCAUCUUAUAGUUUUGUCAGAAAUGCCAGCGAUAUGCAAGCAUGCAUAGGUCAAAAUCCCGUAGGUGAGAGUAUGGGUUUUUGUUGCCUUCUCUAGAGAAGGGUUUAUCCUAAAUCAUUUUUAUAAAACAUGGGCGCAGCUCCUAGCUACAUGUUAGGACAGGCUCUGAAGUUUGUUGUAGGCUAAAGUUCAUGCUCAUGCCAUAUCCAUAGAUAGGAGUGGAAUUCAUAAUGAAAAGAAAAAAUAAAAAGAAAGAAUAAAACUAAAAUGUUAAGCUAGGCUCGAAGUUAAUUGAGCAACUGUUUCCCCAGCAAUGGCGCCAGAAAGCUUGUUCAUAUGUUUAAUACGCACAGAAUAAUCACAGAGACUAAUCCACAAGCACAUGGAUGUUGAUAUUUGGUAACGCAAUAAGGAAAUGAUCCGCAAGCGCACGGAUAUCGUUGAGCAUUUCAGCCGGGAGGUUACCCAGAGUAUCGUAUUUAUAUUUUUACCACUGGGAGAAAGCGUGCAUCUGACUAACCAAAUCUAUUGCUACUACCCUUUAGGAUACAAAGAAUGUUUUUCGAUGUGAGCGAUGUAUAGAGAAGACUGCAACCGUAGUCUCGUUCUAACCUUGGUAAGGAUGAUCUACUAUUCUAUUGGGGAGGCUCACGGAAUCUAGACACCACAGAGGAUGUUCAACCCACACCUAUAAACCCUAUCCUUCCUGCUAACGAGAUAUGGUUUGCAAAGGUAACUCGGAAAUGUCACGUUCCUUGCUACUACCACGGUCCAGCUAGUCAGGGGAUAUCUAUGAGUACUCUAGCCCAAACACCACGUUUACGCUAGCAAUGAUUACUCUAA